AUUGAACGCUGGCGGCAUGCCUUACACAUGCAAGUCGAACGGCAGCACGGGUGCUUGCACCUGGUGGCGAGUGGCGAACGGGUGAGUAAUACAUCGGAACAUGUCCUGUAGUGGGGGAUAGCCCGGCGAAAGCCGGAUUAAUACCGCAUACGAUCUACGGAUGAAAGCGGGGGACCUUCGGGCCUCGCGCUAUAGGGUUGGCCGAUGGCUGAUUAGCUAGUUGGUGGGUAAAGGCCUACCAAGGCGACGAUCAGUAGCUGGUCUGAGAGGACGACCAGCCACACUGGGACUGAGACACGGCCCAGACUCCUACGGGAGGCGGCAGUGGGGAAUUUUGGACAAAGGGCGAAAGCCUGAUCCAGCAAUGCCGCGUGUGUGAAGAAGGCCUUCGGGUUGUAAAGCACUUUUGUCCGGAAAGAAAUCCUUGGCCCUAAUACGGUCGGGGGAUGACGGUACCGGAAGAAUAAGCACCGGCUAACUACGUG
This 485-nucleotide ribosomal RNA is filed under the name uncultured bacterium. Its description in RNAcentral is "partial 16S ribosomal RNA". It matches the Rfam family "Bacterial small subunit ribosomal RNA", at positions 30 to 507 of the family's 1533-position model. The record is from RNAcentral.